Molecule: transfer RNA, 71 nt
Filed under: Filobasidium floriforme
Lineage: Eukaryota; Fungi; Basidiomycota; Tremellomycetes; Filobasidiales; Filobasidiaceae
Also listed under: 2 other names
Rfam family: tRNA
About the family: Transfer RNA (tRNA) molecules are approximately 80 nucleotides in length. Their secondary structure includes four short double-helical elements and three loops (D, anti-codon, and T loops). Further hydrogen bonds mediate the characteristic L-shaped molecular structure. tRNAs have two regions of fundamental functional importance: the anti-codon, which is responsible for specific mRNA codon recognition, and the 3' end, to which the tRNAs corresponding amino acid is attached (by aminoacyl-tRNA synthetases). tRNAs cope with the degeneracy of the genetic code in two manners: having more than one tRNA (with a specific anti-codon) for a particular amino acid; and 'wobble' base-pairing, i.e. permitting non-standard base-pairing at the 3rd anti-codon position.
Source: Rfam by way of RNAcentral
GGGGAAUUAGCUCAAUGGUAGAGCAGUGCUUUUACACAGCAUUUACAGAGGUUCGAUUCCUUUAUUCCUUA